AGACCUCGCAAGUAGGUAUGCCUUAGGGAAGAGCUUGCGUCACAUUAGCUUAGUUUGGUGGGGUAAAGGCCUACCAAGACUAUGAUGUGUAGCCGGACUGAGAGGUUGAACGGCCACAUUGGGACUGAGACACGGCCCAAACUCCUACGGGAGGCAGCAGUANGGAAUUUUCGGCAAUGGAGGAAACUCUGACCGAGCAACGCCGCGUGAAUGACGAAGUACUUUGGUAUGUAAAGUUCUUUUAUCAAGGAAGAAAAGCNNGUGGCGAACCAUUUGUUUGCCGGNACUUGAUGAAUAAGCCCCGUCUAAUUAUGUGCCAGCANCCGCGGUAANACAUAAGGGGCAAGUGUUAUCCGNAAUUAUUGGGCNUAAAGGGUGCGUANGCGGUCUAGUAAGUCAGUGGUGUAAUGGCAACGCUUAACGUUGUCCGGCUAUUGAAACUGCUAAACUUGAGUUAGAUAGAGGCGAGUGGAAUUCCAUGUGUAGCGGUAAAAUGCGUAAAUAUAUGGAGGAACACCAGAGGCGUACGCGGCUCGCUGGGUCUUAACUGACGCUGAGGCACGAAAGCGUGGGGAGCAAACAGGAUUAGAUACCCUGGUAGUCCACGCCGUAAACGAUGAGUACUAAGUGUCGGGUCAAACCGGUACUGAAGUUAACACAUUAAGUACUCCGCCUGAGUAGUACGUACGCAAGUAUGAAACUUAAAGGAAUUGACGGAACUCCGCACAAGCGGGGGAUCAUGUUGUUUAAUUCGAAGAUACCCGAAAAACCUUACCAGGUCUUGACAUGUUUUUGCGAAACGGUAGUAAUAUCGUGGAGGUUAUCA
This 826-nucleotide ribosomal RNA is filed under the name Candidatus Phytoplasma australasiaticum subsp. ipomoeae. Its description in RNAcentral is "bacterial SSU rRNA". It matches the Rfam family "Bacterial small subunit ribosomal RNA", at positions 195 to 1023 of the family's 1533-position model. The record is from RNAcentral. Lineage: Bacteria; Bacillati; Mycoplasmatota; Mollicutes; Acholeplasmatales; Acholeplasmataceae.